Molecule: ribosomal RNA, 279 nt
Filed under: uncultured bacterium
Lineage: Bacteria
Description: partial 16S ribosomal RNA
Rfam family: Bacterial small subunit ribosomal RNA
Source: RNAcentral
UGCCAGCAGCCGCGGUAAUACGUAAUCCCCAAGCGUUACUCGGAAUUACUGGGUGUAAAGGGUUCGCAGGCGGCUUAAUAAGUUGAAUAUGAAAGACCGAAGCUCAACUUCGUGUUUGUGUUCAAAACUAUUAAGCUAGAAUCAGGAAGAGGUAAGCGGAAUUCUAGGUGUAGGGGUGCAAUCCGUAGAUACCUAGAAGAACACCAAAAGCGAAGGCAGCUUACUGGUACUGUAUUGACGCUGAGGAACGAAAGCGUGGGUAGCGAAAAGGAUUAGAUA